RNAcentral lists this ribosomal RNA (396 nucleotides) under uncultured bacterium. RNAcentral's name for it is "bacterial SSU rRNA". It matches the Rfam family "Bacterial small subunit ribosomal RNA", at positions 28 to 419 of the family's 1533-position model. The record is from RNAcentral.
GAUGAACGCUAGCGGCAGGCUUAAUACAUGCAAGUCGAGGGGCAGCAGGGGUAGCAAUACUCGCUGGCGACCGGCAAACGGGUGCGGAACACGUACGCAACCUUCCCAAAACUGGUGAAUAGCCCUCCGAAAGGAGGAUUAAUACACCGUAACAUAAUGAAGUGGCAUCACUUUAUUAUUAUAGCUCCGGCGGUUUUGGAUGGGCGUGCGCCUGAUUAGGUAGUUGGCGGGGUAACGGCCCACCAAGCCUGCGAUCAGUAACUGGUGUGAGAGCACGACCAGUCACACGGGCGACUGAGACACGGGCCCGGACUCCUACGGGAGGCAGCAGUAAGGAAUAUUGGUCAAUGGACGCAAGUCUGAACCAGCCAUGCCGCGUGAAGGAUGAAGGUCCUC